This 181-nucleotide unclassified non-coding RNA is filed under the name Uromyces appendiculatus. RNAcentral describes it as "ITS1". Lineage: Eukaryota; Fungi; Basidiomycota; Pucciniomycetes; Pucciniales; Pucciniaceae. The record is from RNAcentral.
GUGCCCUUUAUUGGGGCUCAAAACUUUUUUUUUUUUUAACCCAAGACUUGUUUGUGUGGGGUUUUUGCCAUUGCACUCAGGUAAACGUAACACUUUUGUGUUACAUUACCCCCCUCCCCAAUUUUUUUUUUUUUAUAAAACACAUGUUGAAAUAAGAAUGUAAUAUAUUUAUUUUGAAAAU